This 48-nucleotide non-coding RNA is filed under the name Schistosoma margrebowiei. The record is from RNAcentral. Lineage: Eukaryota; Metazoa; Platyhelminthes; Trematoda; Strigeidida; Schistosomatidae.
AUCCAGGCGACCAGUCCCAAAUAGAACGAAACACGGGUCAAACUGGAU